GGGAAGGAGAGAAGGGGGGAAGGGAAAGGGAACUAUAGGUUUUUCCGGGAAAGUAUGCCUGUUUGAGGGUCAGCCUAAAAAAAAUCGACAUUGUUGCUGUUAUUUAACGGUGACUUUCGUCGGAGAUUGGGUUAUCUUAAACCUUUUUUUUUUGGUUUAAGCGACUUAAAAUUUUUCUUCACGAUUCCAUGAACGUUUCUAAGAUUUUUAUUUCUUAUACGUUUAAGGUUUAUGCAUCUUUUAUUAGACGUGACCGUCGCAUUGGACGACGUCCAUAAUGUU
This 282-nucleotide unclassified non-coding RNA is filed under the name Glomus sp. RNAcentral's name for it is "partial contains 5.8S ribosomal RNA and internal transcribed spacer 2". Lineage: Eukaryota; Fungi; Glomeromycota; Glomeromycetes; Glomerales; Glomeraceae. The record is from RNAcentral.